AGCGAACGCUGGCGGCAGGCCUAACACAUGCCAGUCGAACGAACUCUUCGGAGUUAGUGGCGGACGGGUGAGUAACACGUGGGAACGUGCCUUUUGGUUCGGAAUAACUCAGGGAAACUUGUGCUAAUACCGAAUGUGCCCUUCGGGGGAAAGAUUUAUCGCCAUUAGAGCGGCCCGCGUCUGAUUAGCUAGUUGGUGAGGUAACGGCUCACCAAGGCGACGAUCAGUAGCUGGUCUGAGAGGAUGACCAGCCACACUGGGACUGAGACGCGGCCCAGACUCCUACGGGAGGCAGCAGUGGGGAAUCUUGCGCAAUGGGCGAAAGCCUGACGCAGCCAUGCCGCGUGAAUGAUGAAGGUCUUAGGAUUGUAAAAUUCUUUCACCGGGGACGAUAAUGACGGUACCCGGAGAAGAAGCCCCGGCUAACUUCGUG
Molecule: ribosomal RNA, 433 nt
Filed under: uncultured bacterium
Lineage: Bacteria
Description: partial 16S ribosomal RNA
Rfam family: Bacterial small subunit ribosomal RNA
Source: RNAcentral